Scylla paramamosain (green mud crab) is the source of this 404-nucleotide long non-coding RNA. RefSeq lists it as uncharacterized. The record is from RefSeq and is a predicted model, not a curated record. Lineage: Eukaryota; Metazoa; Arthropoda; Malacostraca; Decapoda; Portunidae. The transcript has 3 exons.
UUUUCUCCUCUUCUCGCUGACGUCACACUUUGUACACUCCGCUCCCGUUAUCGUACGCACGUAUUUCCCGUCGCUGGUUAUUCACUGAAGAGUAAAGAGGAGACGGAGAAGAGAAGGAAUAACGGAAAAAAAUAAGGUGGACGGGGCCGAAAUGAGCACCUGAGCCGAAAGCGCGAGUCGAAAUCGGGACCCAAACUCAAGAUCAGCUGAGUCCCGGGAGGCGAGAGACCAAGGGAACUACGUCGGCUAUUUAUCUCUCAGCAGAUCCAUCGUGGGGCAGGAUCACCCCAUGGCCACAAGCACCCCACACUGAGGCAGCACCUGAACCACACCCCAACUAGCCACCACAGCCGCAACACAAACCCAGAAAGAAGCCCUCCCAUCAUCACCACAGCCCCACAAAU